This 253-nucleotide ribosomal RNA is filed under the name uncultured bacterium. RNAcentral's name for it is "partial 16S ribosomal RNA". It matches the Rfam family "Bacterial small subunit ribosomal RNA", at positions 524 to 776 of the family's 1533-position model. The record is from RNAcentral.
UACGAGGGGGGCAAGCGUUGUUCGGAAUUAUUGGGCGUAAAGGGCGCGUAGGCGGUGCGGUAAGUCACCUGUGAAACCUCUAGGCUUAACCUAGAGCCUGCAGGCGAAACUGCCGUGCUUGAGGGUGGGAGAGGUGCGUGGAAUUCCCGGUGUAGCGGUGAAAUGCGUAGAUAUAGGGAGGAACACCUGUGGCGAAAGCGGCGCACUGGACAACAUCUGACGCUGAGGCGCGAAAGCUAGGGGAGCAAACAGG